GACGAACGCUGGCGGCGUGCUUAACACAUGCAAGUCGAACGGAAAGGCCCUGCUUUUGUGGGGUGCUCGAGUGGCGAACGGGUGAGUAACCCGUGAGUAACCUGCCCUUGCCUUUGGGAUAACUUCAGGCAACUGGGGCUAAUACCGGAUAGGAGCUCUCGCUGCAUGGUGGGGGUUGGAAAGUUUCGGCGGUUGGGGAUGGACUCGCGGCUUAUCAGCUUGUUGGUGGGGUAGUGGCUUACCAAGGCUUUGACGGGUAGCCGGCCUGAGAGGGUGACCGGCCACAUUGGGACUGAGAUGCGGCCCAGACUCCUACGGGAGGCAGCAGUGGAGAAUAGUGCACUAUGGGCGGAAGCCUAAUGCAGCAACGCCGCGUGCGGGAUGACGGCCUUCGGGUUGUAAACCGCAGUCGCCUGUGACGAAGCGUGAGUGACGGUAAUGGGUAAAGAAGCACCGGCUAACUACGUG
Molecule: ribosomal RNA, 468 nt
Filed under: uncultured bacterium
Lineage: Bacteria
Description: partial 16S ribosomal RNA
Rfam family: Bacterial small subunit ribosomal RNA
Source: RNAcentral